Long non-coding RNA from Triticum aestivum (bread wheat), 315 nucleotides. RefSeq lists it as uncharacterized. NCBI's taxonomy places the organism in Eukaryota, Viridiplantae, Streptophyta, Magnoliopsida, Poales, Poaceae. The record is from RefSeq and is a predicted model, not a curated record. The transcript has 2 exons.
CCUGGUACUGAGUUAUUCAUCGCCGAGGAAAGCAUUCAUGCACCAGCUAUGCUAGCUAGCUGGUUGAACAGGUCUGCUGAGGCACCACCGAUGACGGUUAUUCAUGAGCCAGCUAUGCUAGCUAACCUGGCCGCACAGGUCUGCCGAGGAAAGCAUUCAUGCACCAGCUAUGCUAGCUAGCUGGUUGAACAGGUCUGCUGAGGCACCACCGAUGACGGUUAUUCAUGAGCCAGCUAUGCUAGCUAACCUGGCCGCACAGGUCUGCCGAGGUGAAAAGCAUUCACUGGCGUAGCUAACCAGUGAUGUAAGUCUUUU